AGGAUGAUGGCACUCGGAUAAUUGCAGCGCAUUGUGUGUCCAUCAGGUUGGGCAAUUGCGAAUUAACUGUGGUGGGUGCCAAUUCGAUUGUGUCCGUGAUGCGGC
Molecule: small nucleolar RNA, 105 nt
Filed under: Drosophila ananassae
Lineage: Eukaryota; Metazoa; Arthropoda; Insecta; Diptera; Drosophilidae
Description: snoRNA:GF26110
Source: RNAcentral